RNAcentral lists this ribosomal RNA (496 nucleotides) under uncultured bacterium. RNAcentral describes it as "bacterial SSU rRNA". It matches the Rfam family "Bacterial small subunit ribosomal RNA", at positions 30 to 504 of the family's 1533-position model. The record is from RNAcentral.
CGAACGCUGGCGGCGUGGAUUAGGCAUGCAAGUCGAACGAUCCCUUUCUUCGGAGGGGGAUAGUGGCAAACGGGUGAGGAACACGUGGGUAAUUUACCUUUAGGUCCGGAACAACUUGUCGAAAGACGGGCUAAUACCGAAUAAGACCACGAUUCCACAGGAAUUGUGGUUAAAGAUGGGGAUCCUGAAAAUGGACCUGUCGCCUAUUGUUGAGCCCGCGUCCUAUCAGCUUGUUGGUGGGGUAAAAGCCUACCAAGGCGAAGACGGGUAGCUGGUCUGAGAGGAUGGUCAGCCACACUGGGACUGAGACACUGCCCAGACUCCUACGGGAGGCUGCAGUCGAGAAUCUUUUGCAAUGCCCGCAAGGGUGACAAUGCGACGCCGCGUGAGCGAUGAAGGCCUUCGGGUUGUAAAGCUCUGUCAGUUGGGAUGAAUGCAGGAAAAUUAAUACCUUUUCUGCUUGACGGUACCAACAGAGGAAGCCACGGCUAACUCC